CCCUUAGAUGUCCUGGGCCGCACGCGCGCUACACUGAUGCAUUCAACGAGUCUACCUUGGCCGAGAGGCCUGGGCAAUCUUGUUAACCUGCAUCGUGAUAGGGAUAGAUUAUUGCAAUUAUUAAUCUUGAACGAGGAAUUCCUAGUAAACGCAAAUCAUCAAUUUGCAUUGAUUACGUCCCUGCCCUUUGUACACACCGCCCGUCGCACCUACCGAUUGAAUGGUCCGGUGAAGCCUCGGGAUUGUGGCCAGUUCACUUUAUUGGGAGUUGGCUGUGAGAACUUGUCUAAACCUUAUCAUUUAGAGGAAGGUGAAGUCGUAACA
RNAcentral lists this ribosomal RNA (324 nucleotides) under uncultured eukaryote. Its description in RNAcentral is "partial 18S ribosomal RNA". It matches the Rfam family "Eukaryotic small subunit ribosomal RNA", at positions 1470 to 1796 of the family's 1831-position model. The record is from RNAcentral.